Long non-coding RNA from Tigriopus californicus, 550 nucleotides. RefSeq lists it as uncharacterized. The record is from RefSeq and is a predicted model, not a curated record. The transcript has 3 exons. NCBI's taxonomy places the organism in Eukaryota, Metazoa, Arthropoda, Copepoda, Harpacticoida, Harpacticidae.
UUUUUUCAGACGACAAUGAUUCACCUGUGACUCUUGCAGUGUCAACAUGAAGGUUCUUCUACAUCUGGCUCUUAUUUUGACUUUGUCUUCAGUUUGGAUGGAGGCAGAGGGCAAAGCUUGUAAACUCAAGGGAGUUAAUUGCAUGGGUUAUAGGUUGGAUUUUUCUAUGGCCAGUAGUGCUGACGAGUGCGAGAUUGAUUGCAGGCGUGUUGGAAGGUUUUACGGACGAAAAGCCAAUUAUUACUCUGUCUUAUACACAGGCUCAUCCUUGAGGGGGCCAAGUUUUAAUUGCAAAUGCUAUGCCACUUGUCGCAUUCAAUUAAAUUCUGCAAGUGAGGUGCAUGUAAUUGAUGACAAAGACGUUUCUAACAUUUGUGAGACUGAGGCUCGAUUCAAAUUUUGAUCUAAUACUUCAUCUAUUUCUGUUCAAGUAACUCCAAAUCCAAAAUAAAGACAAACCAUUCAGAUGGAUCUUAAACAGUUUUCGUGUCAUUUGUAUGCAUGUCGCUUCAAUUACUUUUUUACAUCAUAUCCGAGGUAUAUGGCCAUU